Molecule: non-coding RNA, 299 nt
Organism: Rattus norvegicus (Norway rat)
Lineage: Eukaryota; Metazoa; Chordata; Mammalia; Rodentia; Muridae
Source: RefSeq, a predicted model, not a curated record
GCGCGCGGCAGGAAGGCUGGCGAGGGGCUGCGCGGGGGCGGACGUAGCCGGCACAUGUUCUUCCCGGCGUCCACUUCCGGCCUGCCGGCCGGCAAGCCUACACCGCGUUGUUCGCCGGCUGCGUGGCCGCGGAACCGGUCCGCGUGGCCUGCCCAAAGCUGUAAUCUCCUUGCCGUGACCUUGAGGUUUUCGAGUCUCACCAUGCAACUGCUGGCCUGGUGAUUACCAUGUAGAGCAACUCACGGAGAUCAGCCUGCCCCUGCCUCCCAAUUACUGGAUUAAAGACAAGUACCACCACA